This 468-nucleotide ribosomal RNA is filed under the name uncultured bacterium. Its description in RNAcentral is "partial 16S ribosomal RNA". It matches the Rfam family "Bacterial small subunit ribosomal RNA", at positions 28 to 507 of the family's 1533-position model. The record is from RNAcentral.
GACGAACGCUGGCGGCGUGCUUAACACAUGCAAGUCGAACGAAAAGGUCCUGCGCUUGUGCGGUUCUCGAGUGCCGAACACGGGAGUAACACGCGAGGAUCAUCCCCCUAUCAGUGUGAGAACUUCAGGGAACUGCGGAGAAUACCGGGUAGAAUCUCCUGAAGCGUGUGGGGCGAUAGAAAGUGUCGGCGGUUGGAGAUCGAAUCGCUGCUUAUGAGCUGGUUGGUGUGGUAGGUGCUUACCAAGCCUGUGACGGGUAGCCGGCAUGAGAGGCUGACCGGCCACAUUGGGCCUACGAUACGGCGCAGAAUGCUACGGGAGGCAGCAGUCGGGAAUAUUGCGCGAUGGGCCGACGCCUGAUGCAGCAAUGUCGCGUGCGGGAUGCCGUCUUUCGGGUUGUAAACAGAUUUCGACUGUGCCGAAGAGUGCUUGACGGUACUGGGUAAAGAAGCCACGGCUAACUACGUG